Molecule: non-coding RNA, 863 nt
Organism: Megalobrama amblycephala (Wuchang bream)
Lineage: Eukaryota; Metazoa; Chordata; Actinopteri; Cypriniformes; Xenocyprididae
Source: the annotation of a RefSeq genome assembly
AUAUAAACAUUUUUAGAGAAUUUUAGAGACUUACUGAUGGUCAGUUUAGUUCCUCCACCGAAAGUGUACCACAGUGCUUCAUUCUAGUGAAAGCGUCGUACAAAAACCUCCGUCACACUCAAAUGAACACAAACUCCAGCAGAGAAAGAGACGAACGACACUCACACACACUGAUAUGAGACUCAACAGCAGCUCUUCUCAACAUUAAAUAAUGAUUAUUGGACUGAAGUGACUUUCACAGAAACAGCCUCAUCAUCUCUAAAUGUCUCUUGAUGCAUGAAAACUAUUAAAUCUGAAUAAAUAAUAUAAUCAGAAAGACUCUGUACUGAUCAUCACACAUCUGAACUCAGGGUUUUUGCUCAGAGAGUCACUUUGCAUCGGCUCAUGCUUCAGCGCUCCGAGUGUUUAUAGCGUUCAGACUCAAACACUUUAUAACACACUGCUGUUUACCACGGUACAAACCCAACAAACACCAUGAAUCUCUUCAGCAGCUUCAUCUGGAUUCUGGCAGCUUUUAUUCCAGCAUCCAGAGGAAUCACUGUGACUCAGCCUGAAGCUGUGACUGUUUCUGAAGGACAAAACGCCAAAAUAGAGUGUAAAACUGAUACUGGGAUAUAUAGCUGGUAUUUAGCUUGGUAUCAGCAGAAACAUGGAGAAGCUCCUAAACUCAUCAUUACUGGGGUAAAUGAUCUCUAUGAUGAGAGUUUAAGUCGAUUCAGUGGGAAUGGAGAAGAAGGUGGGACAGAUUUCUCUCUGACCAUCAGUGGAGUCCAGACUGAAGAUGCUGGACAUUAUUACUGUCAGAGUGUCCAUGAAAUCAACAGUGAUUAUGUGUUCACACAGUGAUAAAGAGUCGUACAAAA